This 290-nucleotide ribosomal RNA is filed under the name Clostridium rhizosphaerae. RNAcentral describes it as "partial 16S ribosomal RNA". It matches the Rfam family "Bacterial small subunit ribosomal RNA", at positions 1 to 298 of the family's 1533-position model. The record is from RNAcentral. Lineage: Bacteria; Bacillati; Bacillota; Clostridia; Eubacteriales; Clostridiaceae.
UAAAUUGAGAGUUUGAUCCUGGCUCAGGACGAACGCUGGCGGCGUGCCUAACACAUGCAAGUCGAGCGGGAGACUUCGGUCUCUAGCGGCGGACGGGUGAGUAACACGUGGGUAACCUGCCUUAGUGAGGGGGAUAGCCUCCCGAAAGGGAGAUUAAUACCGCAUAACAUUGUGAUAUCGCAUGAUAUUGUAAUUAAAGGAGUAAUCCGCACUAAGAUGGACCCGCGGCGCAUUAGCUAGUUGGUGAGGUAACGGCUCACCAAGGCGACGAUGCGUAGCCGGCCUGAGAG